Molecule: non-coding RNA, 559 nt
Organism: Nelumbo nucifera (sacred lotus)
Lineage: Eukaryota; Viridiplantae; Streptophyta; Magnoliopsida; Proteales; Nelumbonaceae
Source: RefSeq, a predicted model, not a curated record
GUGGUAACCAGAGAGAUCGGGAUCGUGAAAGGGCUCUUGCCAGGACUGGCUCGAAGGCGAAAUCAAAAGACGAUGGGUUGACCCCUGAACAACGCCGUGAGAGGGAUGCGAAGGCGCUGCAAGAGAAGGCAGCGAAGAAAGCUUCACAGGCUGCUGCCGGAGGAGGGGACACUAAAGGUAAAAGCAGCAACAAGAAAUAACAGCAGAUUGAUUAUAGAGGGAAGAAAAGGGGGGGGGGGUUAGAUGCUUGGAUCAGAUUUGGUUUUUUCUCUAUCAGUGACUAAUUGGAAGAGAGUUGUAUGUGGGUGUGGAUGUUUCGUGGUUCUUUGUCUCAUCUGUGUUGUGAAGAUUAUGUCUUUAGUCUCAGAUGUUGGGAAUUCGUUCAUGUUUGGUUCAAGCAACUCUGUUGUCUAUUAAAUUCUUAAUUGGAAUCUGACCAAGAAUUCCUAUUAAGCUGUCUAUGAUAUGCCUUUGUUUCUAUUGAAUUUCUUUACAUUGUAAGCAAGUUUCAGAUGACCAGACCUGCGAUCCCCUUUUAUAUUUAAGUUCUUAAACAUCA